This 425-nucleotide ribosomal RNA is filed under the name uncultured bacterium. Its description in RNAcentral is "partial 16S ribosomal RNA". It matches the Rfam family "Bacterial small subunit ribosomal RNA", at positions 354 to 796 of the family's 1533-position model. The record is from RNAcentral.
GUUAGGAAUAUUGGACAAUGGGCGCAAGCCUGAUCCAGCCAUGCCGCGUGAGUGAUGAAGGCCUUCGGGUUGUAAAGCUCUUUAGCCGAUGAUUAUAAUGACUGUAGUCGGAAAAUAAGCCCCGGCCAACUUCGUGCCAGCAGCCGCGGUAAUACGAAGGGGGCGAGCGUUAUUCGGAAUCACUGGGCGUAAAGCGUUCGUAGGCGACUUUGCAAGUUGGGAGUGAAAGCCCAGGGCUCAACCCUGGAAUUGCUCUUAAAACUGCAAGGCUCGAAUGCGGGGGAGGAUAGCGGAAUUGUCAGUGUAGCAGUGAAAUGCGUAGAUAUUGACAGGAACACCAGUGGCGUAAGCGGCUAUCUGGACCGAUAUUGACGCGGAGGCACGAAAGCGUGGGGAUCAAACAGGAUUAGAUACCCCAGUAGUCC